This 372-nucleotide ribosomal RNA is filed under the name uncultured bacterium. RNAcentral describes it as "bacterial SSU rRNA". It matches the Rfam family "Archaeal small subunit ribosomal RNA", at positions 719 to 1092 of the family's 1478-position model. The record is from RNAcentral.
ACUAAAUAGAUACCCCGGUAGUCCCAGCUGUAAACUAUGCUCGCUAGGUGUCAGGGACGGUGCGACCGUUUCUGGUGCCGCAGGGAAGCCGUGAAGCGAGCCACCUGGGAAGUACGGUCGCAAGGCUGAAACUUAAAGGAAUUGGCGGGGGAGCACUACAACGGGUGGAGCCUGCGGUUUAAUUGGACUCAACGCCGGAAAACUCACCGGGGGCGACAGCAAUAUGUAGGUCAAGCUAAAAGACUUUACCAGAAUCGCUAAGAGGAGGUGCAUGGCCGUCGUCAGUUCGUACUGUGAAAGCAUCCUGUUAAGUCAGGCAACGAGCGAGACCCGUGCCCACUGUUGCCAGCAUGUCCCUCGGUAGUGAUGGGU